AUUCCAGCUCCAAUAGCGUAUAUUAAAGUUGUUGCAGUUAAAAAGCUCGUAGUUGAACUUUGGGCCUGGGCGGGCGGUCUACCUAUGGUAAGUACUGUUGCGGCCGGGUCUUUUCCUUCUGGCUAACUCUUCGGAGUGAACCAGGACGAUUACUUUGAGGAAAUUAGAGUGUUCAAAGCAGGCCUUUGCUCGGAUAUAUUAGCAUGGAAUAAUAGAAUAGGACGUUAUGGUUCUAUUUUGUUGGUUUCUAGGACCAUCGUAAUGAUUAAUAGGGACGGUCGGGGGCAUCAGUAUUCAGUUGUCAGAGGUGAAAUUCUUGGAUUAACUGAAGACGAACCACUGCGAAAGCAUUUGCCAGGGAUGUUUUCAUUA
RNAcentral lists this ribosomal RNA (372 nucleotides) under Pichia sp. Its description in RNAcentral is "partial small subunit ribosomal RNA". It matches the Rfam family "Eukaryotic small subunit ribosomal RNA", at positions 582 to 975 of the family's 1831-position model. Lineage: Eukaryota; Fungi; Ascomycota; Pichiomycetes; Pichiales; Pichiaceae. The record is from RNAcentral.